UACAGAGGGGGCAAGCGUUGUCCGGACUUACUGGGCGUACAGCGCGCGCAGGCGGAGGCGGACGUGCCGUGUGACAGACCAGUGCUCACCACUGGAGGGCCACGGUACACGACGUCUCUGGAGGCAGGGAGAGGGAUGUGGAAUGCCCGGUGGAGCGGUGAAAUGCGUAGAGAUCGGGCGGAACACCAGCGGCGAAGGCGGCAUCCUGGUCCUGUACUGACGCUGAGGCGCGAGAGCGUGGGGAGCGAACUGG
RNAcentral lists this ribosomal RNA (253 nucleotides) under Kallotenue sp. RNAcentral describes it as "partial 16S ribosomal RNA". It matches the Rfam family "Bacterial small subunit ribosomal RNA", at positions 524 to 776 of the family's 1533-position model. RNAcentral also lists the same sequence under 2 other names. Lineage: Bacteria; Bacillati; Chloroflexota; Chloroflexia; Kallotenuales; Kallotenuaceae. The record is from RNAcentral.